Molecule: ribosomal RNA, 253 nt
Filed under: uncultured bacterium
Lineage: Bacteria
Description: partial 16S ribosomal RNA
Rfam family: Bacterial small subunit ribosomal RNA
Source: RNAcentral
UACAGAGGGUGCAAGCGUUAAUCGGAUUUACUGGGCGUAAAGCGUGCGUAGGCGGUUCAUUAAGUCGGUUGUGAAAUCCCUGGGCUUAACCUGGGAACUGCAGUCGAUACUGGUGGACUAGAAUGCGGUAGAGGGUGGCGGAACUCCGGGUGUAGCGGUGAAAUGCGUAGAUAUCCGGAAGAACACCGAUGGCGAAGGCCACCACCUGGGCCUGCAUUGACGCUGAGGUACGAAAGCGUGGGGAGCAAACAGG